Molecule: small RNA, 445 nt
Filed under: Pan troglodytes (chimpanzee)
Lineage: Eukaryota; Metazoa; Chordata; Mammalia; Primates; Hominidae
Description: retained intron
Source: RNAcentral
GAGUGGGUGAGCCUCUGAAAGCGCGGGUGUGAGUUCCAGAAAUGAGGAGAGACUGGCACCAAGAAAAAAAGUGCCUUGCCCAUCUUUUCCUACUGAGAAAUGGAGAGGCCACCACCUGGAUCCAGUGAGCUAGGAGGGAUAGGAGAGAGGACUGUGAGGCAUGGGUGGCUCUAUGGUCACGCCCAUCUUCCUAUAGGUCAUCGACAUCCUGAGGGGGAAGGCCACCCGGCCUGCUUCCACCUCCCAGCCAGACCCCUCCCCUGACCGGAGCGCCAACACCUCCCCCGAGAGCAGCAGCCGCCUCAGCUCCAAUGGUCUUCUCUCCACAUCACCAUCCUCCUCACCCUCCCAGUCUCCCCCCAGGGACCCCCCUGGAUUCCCCAUGGCUCCUCCCAAUUUCUUCCUUCCUUCCCCAUCUCCACCCACCUUCCUGCCCUUUGCUGGG